CGGCACGGGGAGGUAGUGACGAAAAUACCGUUGCGGGUCUCACUCGAGGCCCCGCAAUUGGAAUGAGUACACUUUAAAUCCUUGCAUGAGGAUCGAGUGGAGGGCAAGUCUGGUGCCAGCAGCCGCGGUAAUUCCAGCUCCACUAGCGUAUAUUAAAGCUGCUGCGGUUAAAAAGCUCGUAGUUAGCUCUCUGUCCCGGACCGGCGGAGGUUAAACCCUGAGCGGCACCUUCCGUCCGGCCUCCGAGCUAUAAACCGUGUGCUGCUUUACGCGUAACGCUCGGGAUGCCCUUCACCGGGUGUCCCUUGCGGGCCACAGUUCCACUUUGAACAAAUAAGAGUGCUCAGAGCAGGCAAAGUCCCAUGCCUGAAUGGUGGUGCAUAGAAUGGAGAAAGAGGUCCUCGGCUCUAUUUUAUUGGUUUUCUGAGCCAGAGGAAAUGAUUAAUAGGGACAGACGGGGGCAUUCGUACUGCGACGAUAGAGGUGAAAUUCUUAGACCGUCGCAUGACGAACCACUGCGAAAGCAUCUGCCAAGGAUGUUUUCAUUAAUCAAGAACGAAAGUGAGAGGUUCGAAGGCGAUCAGAUACCGCCCUAGUUCUAACCCUAAACGAUACCAGCCAGCGAUCCGCCCGAGUUAAUCCCAUGACUCGGCGGGCAGCUUUCCGGGAAACCAAAGCUUUUGGGUUCCGGGGGAAGUAUGGUUGCAAAGCUGAAACUUAAAGGAAUUGACGGAAGGGCACCACCAGGAGUGGAGCCUGCGGCUCAAUUUGACUCAACACGGGGAAUCUUACCAGGCCCAGACACUGGAAGGAUUGACAGAAUGAAGGCUCUUUCUCGAUUCGGUGGGUGGUGGUGCAUGGCCGUUCUUAGUUGGUGGAGUGAUUUGUCUGGUUAAUUCCGAUAACGAACGAGACUCUUGCCUACUAACUAGUCGAUGGGCUCAGAAAGACCGCAGGUUCCCUUGCGCAAGCGAGGGCCGCCUCACAAGGGCGGUUUCUGCGGUCGAUUGUCCACUGUGAAUUGUAUGACGGAAGUAGCCGCGGCUUGAAGGGUUUGCAACACCGGGGUGGCUGUGGAGUGGCUGGCGGUGCCCUCGUGGUUUCCGUCGGUCCUCCCUCCCCUCGUGAGCUCCUUCUCCAACCGUGGUCUUCCAAUGUCAGAGCCCAUGGAGAUAUCUUCUUAGAGGGAUAAGCGGCAGCAAUACAAGUCUUAGCCGCACGAGAUUGAGCCAUAACAGGUCUGUGAUGCCCUUAGAUGUUCUGGGCCGCACGCGCGCUACAAUGGAGAGCGCAGCAAGCUAUCCCCUUCUCCGGCAGGAGUGGGUAACCUCUUCAAAGCUGUCCCUAAAGGGGACUGGGGUUUGAAAUUGUGCCCCAUGAACGAGGAAUUCCCAGUAGGCGCAAUUCACCAGAUUGCACCGAUUUAGUCCCUGCCCUUUGUACACACCGCCCGUCGCUACUACCGAUUGAAUGGCCUAGUGAGGGCAUUGGACUGGCGCCCUUGGAGCGGUCCCUUCUCUCUCCUCGUGGGAGGAAGGGGUUUACACUGCUCCUUGGUCUAAGACG
This 1566-nucleotide ribosomal RNA is filed under the name Eusergestes similis. RNAcentral's name for it is "SSU rRNA". It matches the Rfam family "Eukaryotic small subunit ribosomal RNA", at positions 452 to 1779 of the family's 1831-position model. The record is from RNAcentral. Lineage: Eukaryota; Metazoa; Arthropoda; Malacostraca; Decapoda; Sergestidae.